RNAcentral lists this ribosomal RNA (721 nucleotides) under Marinobacter nauticus. RNAcentral describes it as "bacterial SSU rRNA". It matches the Rfam family "Bacterial small subunit ribosomal RNA", at positions 57 to 769 of the family's 1533-position model. The record is from RNAcentral. Lineage: Bacteria; Pseudomonadati; Pseudomonadota; Gammaproteobacteria; Pseudomonadales; Marinobacteraceae.
GCAGUCGAGCGGUAACAGGGGAAGCUUGCUUCCCGCUGACGAGCGGCGGACGGGUGAGUAAUGCUUAGGAAUCUGCCCAGUAGUGGGGGAUAGCCCGGGGAAACCCGGAUUAAUACCGCAUACGUCCUACGGGAGAAAGCAGGGGAUCUUCGGACCUUGCGCUAUUGGAUGAGCCUAAGUCGGAUUAGCUAGUUGGUGGGGUAAAGGCCUACCAAGGCGACGAUCCGUAGCUGGUCUGAGAGGAUGAUCAGCCACAUCGGGACUGAGACACGGCCCGAACUCCUACGGGAGGCAGCAGUGGGGAAUAUUGGACAAUGGGGGCAACCCUGAUCCAGCCAUGCCGCGUGUGUGAAGAAGGCUUUCGGGUUGUAAAGCACUUUCAGUACGGAGGAAAACCUUAUGGUUAAUACCCGUGAGGCUUGACGUUACCUACAGAAGAAGCACCGGCUAACUCCGUGCCAGCAGCCGCGGUAAUACGGAGGGUGCAGGCGUUAAUCGGAAUUACUGGGCGUAAAGCGCGCGUAGGUGGUUUGGUAAGCGAGAUGUGAAAGCCCCGGGCUUAACCUGGGAACGGCAUUUCGAACUGUCAGACUAGAGUGUGGUAGAGGGUAGUGGAAUUUCCUGUGUAGCGGUGAAAUGCGUAGAUAUAGGAAGGAACACCAGUGGCGAAGGCGGCUACCUGGACCAACACUGACACUGAUGUGCGAAAGCGUGGAGGAGC